Long non-coding RNA from Bombus pascuorum, 1474 nucleotides. RefSeq lists it as uncharacterized. The record is from RefSeq and is a predicted model, not a curated record. Lineage: Eukaryota; Metazoa; Arthropoda; Insecta; Hymenoptera; Apidae. The transcript is spliced from 2 exons.
AUAUGAAGUUGAAGAUAUCCACGUUGCUCCAUUCUUAAACAAUUUGAACUGUUCGAAGAGUUGCUAUUUCACGUUUAUACAGUUUACGAGCUCGAUAUCCCGCGCUAUGUCUACAAAUGAUUUUCCAAUAUCGCGCGCGAUUCUACGGCCAAGUGCAUACUUGCACAGUCGAUCAGAAAAAUAUUACAGGGAAAGAACGACUUUUAAGUGAUAAACGGCAUGGGCGAGCGCAUAAUCAGACCAAAGUAGAACGAGAACGAUUUUGGUCGGACAUCAUCGCGUACCGCCAUCUGAAGCAUGAUCGAAGAACUAUAAAGACCGCUUGUCGGAGCGGGAGUUUUCUUUUUUCUAUUCUAUCGAUUUUAUACGAUAAAACGUUGCAACUUUUUCGCCUGUACUUGAUUUUCACGGUACAGUAAAUUCUACAAAAUACGAUGUAUAGGAAAAAUAAACAAAUCGUUAUACGUUAUCUUUGCUCGCAAGGAAUAUACGCGGCAGAUAAUAUUAUUGUACGAAGCUCUGCGUUUUGGUUUCGUAACUCUUUUUUAUCGUAGAAUUGCUAUCACGUUGCGGCACACGUUUCAUUUCUCAGUUUAUUGCAAGAUGUUUGCGUGAUCGUUAGCGUUUACAAAGCAAAUAUCGAUGAUUUCAUCUGGAGUUUUGCGUGGGCCGUUGUUUUGCACCGCUGCUUCCGCUUAUUUCAAUAAUUUCUUAGCUACGGAACAUCAAUAUUUUGCUGACGUCUGUAAGAAAAAAAAGUGUAUUCAGUCGUAAGAAAUAUCGAUUCAAGUAGAAACUAUACUACAGAUUACACGAUAAAACACAAGGCGGAAUAAUGUUGGAAUACUAAACGUCGCUGGUAAACAUUGGAUAAAUUUUUGAAAAAAACAUGCUGUUAUGGCGAAGCUGAAAGUACCUCGGAUAAUACGAAGCUUCGGUUAAACUGGUCUCGCAUAAGCAAGGCGCCAGUGUGCCUCAUAUUGCGAGAAGGAGAAUUUCGUAUGACUUUUUUAUUAAUACUAAAUAUUGGCAACUAAGUGAUUGCAAAAUCAGAAAUCCGCAAUCACUUUGUUGCCACGACAAUAAGAAUGAGUUUCGAGUGACGGAGAUGCGUGAAACGACUGCGAUAGAAAGUACGACUGAUCGUGUUUUUUGCCUCUAGUCCUCGUACAUUAUCUGUACGUAAUGAUUUACGAAAGAAUUCGAACAGUGUAGCCUUUAUUAUUACAUUCUAUUGAGAUAUGUGUAAUUUUGUGUGCUACGUUAGAUCAGCCGCGUAGUAGUGACACACGUAUAUGAGUAUGGGUGCGUUGGAGUAUGUGCGUGAACAGCAUCUCGUAAAAUAAAAGAAUGCAACUGUUCCGUCGAUAAGGAAGGUGGCGAGACAAAGAGAGUGCUGAGACGCGUGCAAAUUGUAUCGACGAAUAUCUUGUCAAUCGCAUAUCAAAUAAAUCUGAAACUAUUUUUAUAUCAA